This 253-nucleotide ribosomal RNA is filed under the name uncultured bacterium. Its description in RNAcentral is "partial 16S ribosomal RNA". It matches the Rfam family "Bacterial small subunit ribosomal RNA", at positions 524 to 776 of the family's 1533-position model. The record is from RNAcentral.
UACAGAGGGUGCGAGCGUUAAUCGGAAUUACUGGGCGUAAAGCGCGCGUAGGCGGCUCUGCAAGCCGGAUGUGAAAUCCCCGGGCUCAACCUGGGAACUGCGUCUGAUACUGGAUGGCUAGAGGUUGGGAGAGGGAUGCGGAAUUCCAGGUGUAGCGGUGAAAUGUGUAGAUAUCUGGAGGAACACCGGUGGCGAAGGCGGCAUCCUGGACCAAUUCUGACGCUGAGGAGCGAAAGCCAGGAGAGCAAACGGG